Molecule: unclassified non-coding RNA, 155 nt
Filed under: soil metagenome
Description: partial internal transcribed spacer 1
Source: RNAcentral
CCGAGUUAUACAACUCAUCAACCCUGUGAACAUACCUUAAAAUUGUUGCUUCGGCGGGAAAGACGGCCUGUAAACGGGCGCCCCCGCCAGGGGACCCAAACCUUCUGAUUUUUUAUAAUAGUAUCUUCUGAGUGUUAAACAAGAAAAUAAAUUCA